UCUCCGUAGGUGAACCUGCGGAAGGAUCAUUAUUGUAUAACCGAGGCCCGAGGGCUGUUGCUGAUCCCAAUGGUCGCGCACGCCCGAGUGCCCUCACACACAUCCACCUCACCCCCAUGUGCACCACCGCGAGGGUCCCCCUCUGUCUUUAUCGGAGGGGGGCUUACGUUUUUACACAAACUUUGUAUGCAGUGGAGCAUGUAUUUUUUGCUUUUGCGAACACGCAAUCAAUACAACUUACAACACCGGUUCACUUGGCUCUCGUCUCGAUGAAGAACA
RNAcentral lists this unclassified non-coding RNA (279 nucleotides) under plant metagenome. Its description in RNAcentral is "partial contains small subunit ribosomal RNA, internal transcribed spacer 1, and 5.8S ribosomal RNA". The record is from RNAcentral.